Strongylocentrotus purpuratus (purple sea urchin) is the source of this 182-nucleotide long non-coding RNA. RefSeq lists it as uncharacterized. The transcript is spliced from 3 exons. Lineage: Eukaryota; Metazoa; Echinodermata; Echinoidea; Camarodonta; Strongylocentrotidae. The record is from RefSeq and is a predicted model, not a curated record.
CUCAGUGGUAGUUGAUCCCGGUGGAACAGUCGUUGUUUCAGGAGGUUGAGUAGUUGAUCCUGGUGGACCAGUUGUUGUUUCAGGAGGUUGAGUAGUUGAUCCUGGUGGGGCAGUUGUUGUUUCAGGAGGUUGAGUAGUUGAUCCUGGUGGACCAGUUGUUGUUUCAGGAGGUUGAGUAGUUG